AGAGUUGAUCAUGGCUCAGGACGAACGCUGGCGGCGUGCCUAACACAUGCAAGUCGAGCGAGGAGAUUCCUUCGGGAUGAUCCUAGCGGCGGACGGGUGAGUAACACGUGGGCAACCUGCCUCAUAGAGAGGAAUAGCCUUCCGAAAGGGAGAUUAAUACCUCAUAACAUUGCAGUUUCGCAUGGAACAGCAAUUAAAGGAGUAAUCCGCUAUGAGAUGGGCCCGCGGCGCAUUAGCUAGUUGGUGAGGUAACGGCUCACCAAGGCGACGAUGCGUAGCCGACCUGAGAGGGUGAUCGGCCACAUUGGGACUGAGACACGGCCCAGACCCCUACGGGAGGCAGCAGUGGGGAAUAUUGCACAAUGGGGGAAACCCUGAUGCAGCAACGCCGCGUGAGUGAUGACGGCCUUCGGGUUGUAAAGCUCUGUCUUCAGGGACGAUAAUGACGGUACCUGAGGAGGAAGCCACGGCUAACUACGUGCCAGCCGCCGC
Molecule: ribosomal RNA, 492 nt
Filed under: uncultured bacterium
Lineage: Bacteria
Description: bacterial SSU rRNA
Rfam family: Bacterial small subunit ribosomal RNA
Source: RNAcentral